Molecule: ribosomal RNA, 763 nt
Filed under: uncultured Glomeromycotina
Lineage: Eukaryota; Fungi; Glomeromycota
Description: SSU rRNA
Rfam family: Eukaryotic small subunit ribosomal RNA
Source: RNAcentral
GAUAGAGGCCUACCAUGGUGGUAACGGGUAACGGGGUGUUAGGGCACGACACCGGAGAGGGAGCCUGAGAAACGGCUACCACAUCCAAGAAUGGCAGCAGGCGCGCAAAUUACCCAAUCCCGACACGGGGAGGUAGUGACAAUAAAUAACAAUACGGGGUUCUUUCGGAUUUCGUAAUUGGAAUGAGUACAAUUUAAAUCUCUUAACGAGGAACAAUUGGAGGGCAAGUCUGGUGCCAGCAGCCGCGGUAAUUCCAGCUCCAAUAGCGUAUAUUAAAGUUGCUGCAGUUAAAAAGCUCGUAGUUGAAUUUCGGGACCAUCAUGUCGGUCGUGCCUCGGUACGUACUGGCAUUGUUGGUUUCUCCCUUCUGACGAACCAUGAUGUCAUUUAUUUGGUGUUGUGGGAAAUCAGGACUGUUACUUUGAAAAAAUUAGAGUGUUUAAAGCAGGCUCACGCUUGAAUACAUUAGCAUGGAAUAAUGAAAUAGGACGUUUGAUUCUAUUUUGUUGGUUUCUAGGAUCGACGUAAUGAUUAAUAGGGAUAGUUGGGGGCAUUAGUAUUCAAUUGUCAGAGGUGAAAUUCUUGGAUUUAUUGAAGACUAACUACUGCGAAAGCAUUUGCCAAGGAUGUUUUCAUUAAUCAAGAACGAAAGUUAGGGGAUCGAAGACGAUCAGAUACCGUCGUAGUCUUAACCAUAAACUAUGCCGACUAGGGAUCGGAUGAUGUUAUUUUUAAUGACUCAUUCGGCGCCUUACGGGAACAG